UUGAUUACGUCCCUGCCCUUUGUACACACCGCCCGUCGCUGCCCGGGACUGAGCCAUUUCGAGAAAUUCGGGGACGGUUAGUGUGCCGGCUUCGGCCGACGCACGGACUGGAACCGAUUUAAUCGCAGUGGCUUGAACCGGGCAAAAGUCGUAACAAGGUAGCUGUAGGUGAACCUGCUGCUGGAUCAUUACCCAAGUGAUUCCAUUCACCAUCUACCUGUGCUGUCCAGUUGGAACGUUGCUUGGCACCACCACAUGCCCCCGUCUGCUGUUGAGACGGGCACGGACCGGUCGAGAUGGUCUGUGGGCACGGGACAACACUGAGCGGACGGCUACCCUGCGAGCACUCUGUGCUUUGGGGUGUUCUCCGUCGAUGGUGCUUGGUAUACUGACUCGUUGCUGAGCAAAGUGAUAAUAAAAGCCUGAGGUUUGGCUGCGAGGCAAUUGAGUUGGUGGCGGACCGCCUCGCUGGUGGGUUUGCUGUACCGUCGAAGGGAGCACGCUCGUUGGGUAACCCAACGGCUGUGCUGGUGUCUGUGCGUCGUUGAGCGGUUGUUGUGCCUGGCACAUGUGACACACUGGCCUGGGAAGGUGGUUCUUUCCUGGCCUUACGAACCGUAACUAGCGGUGUGUCUGUGCUUGUGUGCUACGUCCGUGGCCGUGAUGAGACGACGUGGUAGGGUCCGUGCUCUGCUUAUAGCACGUGGCUUAAGACUUAAUGAGUGUCAGCUAGGCACCGCCAGUGUUUUUUUUCAUUUAUUUUUUUGACCACUUCUUUGUUGAAGGAAGAAAUUCUAGUCUUAUCGGUGGAUCACUCGGCUCGUGGAUCGAUGAAGAACGCAGCCAACUGCGAUAAUUAGUGCGAACUGCAGAAACCUUGAACACAAAACUUUCGAAUGCACAUUGCGCCAUUGGAGUUACAUCCAUUGGCACGCCUGGUUCAGGGUCGUUAUCAUAAAAGGCACUGCUGUGCCUGUUAUGUUGGUGAGAUCAUGUCUGCAGGACGUGUUCUUGCGCUAUUCUUGAAAAUGCUCGGCCGUGGAGUGUGGUUGUGUUGGCGCGAAACUGUCAGGUUCUUUCGCGUUUUACGGUCCGUAACUAGGGCGCAACUGCUCUCCAUGUGUGCUGGGUGGAAUGCUUCGCUGGUAGGCAUUCCGUGUUUGAAUUUUCGACCUGAACUCAGACGUGAGUACCCGCUGAACUUAAGCAUAUCAGUAAGCGGAGGAAAAGAAACUAACGAGGAUUCCCUUAGUAACGGCGAGUGAAA
RNAcentral lists this ribosomal RNA (1267 nucleotides) under Heterodera filipjevi. Its description in RNAcentral is "eukaryotic LSU rRNA". The stretch from base 1 to 191 matches the Rfam family "Eukaryotic small subunit ribosomal RNA", at positions 1641 to 1831 of the family's 1831-position model. Lineage: Eukaryota; Metazoa; Nematoda; Chromadorea; Rhabditida; Heteroderidae. The record is from RNAcentral.